GAAAAUCUCCAUGCUUUGCAGCAAGAGGUCGCAACCCAAUAUCUCAAAAAGUGGUACUGAUCAUCCAUGAUCUCCAUUCAUCUUGGCUCCACCCCCGCUCGUUACCCGGUUCAGCUGUUUCCACUCAUCUCCAAUCCCAUCAUGCCCUUCUGUCAGUAUACGUACCCCUGUGUUUGUUUCACCUGGGGGGGGGUCACUCUGGUUGUGUGUAUGUGAGUGCUGGUGUAUGGUGAGGCAGUUAGUGCUGGUGAUUUGCUGUACUGUAUAUUCAAUUAAUUGUUUUUUCUUUGUUCUUUUUCUUACAGGGGGAUGAGGAGUAGUUUAGCCCUACUCUGGAGUUUACAUACCUGCACGUAGGGUUACUCUCCUGUCUAACAACACUAGCUACACCUGGCUGGGCCACUUACUGUAAAUUUGGGUAGGGUGCCUUGUUAGUGUGCCAGUUAGUUAAUGAUUUUCGUUGCGAGAUAGUACAGGUAAGUGGGUGGGCGGCAUUUUGUUCUCCUCUUUGCUUUGGUACCGCCAGCCCUCCUCGUUUCCCCUGUUAACUGGGCUUAAAUAACCCCAACUUCAAGGUCCCUCACAAAAAGAAGCUAUAUUCAGUUGUCACAUUUGUAGUUAUACUGAUUUAGCAUCAGAGAAGGAUUAUUUUUCUCAUAUAAAUGGACAUCUCAAACGAAAUGACAGUCAUUUGUAUGUUUUUAGGAUGUGACUUUAAGACAAACAUUUAUUGUACUUUUAAAUCACAUAAAAACCGAAAACACUGUCAUCAAACACACUAGUUGAUUUUAAACCCAGAAGUAGUUAUAACUACAAGGAUAUCAUCUGCCAACGAAUUGGAAGCAAACCGUGAGGAGUGUGUUGAACAGUCAGAUACUUUCAUUCCUUCAAACAGUCAUUCUCAUACAGAAGACUUGCAUAAGGUCAUUGAGCAUAGAUUUGCCGCAGCUUUGCUGAAGUUGGAACAUUUGGUCCAUAUACCCACUUCAGCUGUAGAUGAAUUUCUACGCUGAAGUUAGUUUGUGUGAACACUACCUCUUAGUUGCCCAAUUCAGAUUGUGCCACAUUUUGUUUACUGGUUUACAGUAAAAAACAACAAAAAAAACAUUACUGUUUUUUUGCUAUUGAGGAUGCACUUGUGCAGUACUAACUGUUCAGUUUUUGAACUGCAAUAAGAGAUUUGUAUUUUGAAUGCUGCUGGUGUAAUAAUGGUUACAGCUUAGUAUUUCUAUGCUAAAAUUACUAAGUGUGUGUGUGAUUUCUAAAGUUUUAUGGAAGAAUACAGUAUUUUUUCAAUGCAAUCGGGUUUGAUUUUUGUAUUUCAACACAAAACUGAUGUCUACAAUGCAUUUGGCUGGCUUUAACAAAUUAGUUUAGAGACCUAACCUGGGUUGUAACAAAAAACUGAAAUUGCUUUUAAUUUACAUAACACAUGUAAAUAAAGUUUGUUUUAUUGAAAAUCAGGUAUCCUGAACAUUGUAAAAUCACUUUCAUUCUACUUAAUUAAUUGGUGUUGCAGUAGCUUAAAAAUAUAAAUUAACUCAACUAGAUUAUUUUAAAUACCGGAAUAUGAUUAAAAUCGUUCGGUUUAACAAGUAAUAAUUCAUUGAGAAAAAGAAGGAAAUGUUGUCAGUCAUACGCAUUCUUAUCAUGUGGGACCGAUGUACACAUUAAAAUCAAAUAAAUCCAAAGGAUUAUUUUUUUACUAUAGUAAAAGUUCUACUUUUCAAGUAAUAGUAUUUUAAAAAUACAUCACUCGUAUUUGAGAGGCACGAAGUGCAAAUAAGCUUUUCACUUCGUGCCUCUCAAACCGC
This is a long non-coding RNA of Gasterosteus aculeatus aculeatus (three-spined stickleback), 1814 nucleotides long. The record is from Ensembl. NCBI's taxonomy places the organism in Eukaryota, Metazoa, Chordata, Actinopteri, Perciformes, Gasterosteidae.